UGUAAUUAGACGACGGGUGAACUGCUGCAGUCGGACAUUGGGGAUGAAUGAAUCUAUAGGAAACUGUACCGAUCCCUUGGAAAUAUGACUGAAAUAAGAAUGAUGGAAAGGAAUCUGAAAGACAGGCUGUGGAGGUGAGGGGUCACACAGAGGGACUUUGAUUCUGUGGUGUUUGCUCUGCGUUCAAACCCCUCACACCUGAGCAGAGUUUGAGUUUGAAUGAGCUGCAGGAUUCAGGGGGAGAAGCUGCUCUCUCCGCUUUGCAAGAUCACCCACGCUGAACCGCAGAUGAGGUUAGCAGCGAAUUUGUGCUUCUGUCUCCAUGGACACCAGAAACUGCUCUUUGAUUCCUGUCAGUUCAGCUGAUGAAGGUCUGGAUUGGGCACUUCAGCACUCUGCUGGACCAACAAGCUUUUCUGGAUGAGCUCCCUGAGCAACCCAGCUAGUAACCUUUAACUCCAUAAAUCAAUUCCUUUUAAAAAAAUUUUUUUA
Anguilla anguilla (European eel) is the source of this 492-nucleotide long non-coding RNA. RefSeq lists it as uncharacterized. The record is from RefSeq and is a predicted model, not a curated record. The transcript has 3 exons. NCBI's taxonomy places the organism in Eukaryota, Metazoa, Chordata, Actinopteri, Anguilliformes, Anguillidae.